GACGAACGCUGGCGGCGUGCUUAACACAUGGAAGUCGAACGGAAAGGCCCUGCUUUUGUGGGGUGCUCGAGUGGCGAACGGGUGAGUAACACGUGAGUAACCUGCCCUUGACUUUGGGAUAACUUCAGGAAACUGGGGCUAAUACCGGAUAGGAGCUCCUGCUGCAUGGUGGGGGUUGGAAAGUUUCGGCGGUUGGGGAUGGACUCGCGGCUUAUCAGCUUGUUGGUGGGGUAGUGGCUUACCAAGGCUUUGACGGGUAGCCGGCCUGAGAGGGUGACCGGCCACAUUGGGACUGAGAUACGGCCCAGACUCCUACGGGAGGCAGCAGUGGGGAAUAUUGCACAAUGGGCGGACGCCUGAUGCAGCAACGCCGCGUGCGGGAUGACGGCCUUCGGGUUGUAAACCGAUUUCGCAUGUGACGAAGAGUGAGUGACGGUAAUGGGUAAAGAAGCACCGGCUAACUACGUG
Molecule: ribosomal RNA, 468 nt
Filed under: uncultured bacterium
Lineage: Bacteria
Description: partial 16S ribosomal RNA
Rfam family: Bacterial small subunit ribosomal RNA
Source: RNAcentral